AGACGGGUACAAUUUGCAGAAGUAAAGUCGAAAACUGCAACAUCAGCGCGUCUAUAACAAAUUCAAUGAUACCCUUCGUGCAUGGUGGACACAACGCGUCCCAACGUCUCCAUCUCCUUUUCUUCUCUCUCAUGGUUUUACCCGUACAACAUCCAUGCUAGGCACGUUUCAUCAUUGGCAAGGUGAGAUGACUACACGACGCCCGUCUACUACGAGAAAGUGAUCUCAAUCCUCCACCUAGCCUGCUAUAAGUUUAAAAUCAAUCGGAAUCAAAGGAUAUUCAAUUUUGGGGAUAAGAUUUAGGUUUUUGAAAUUUAAAUGGGUCUUGGGGGUAAAUUCGAACUCGAUCCAUUUUUCCCCUGUUAGGAACCCUAAUUCUGCCUAUAUAAUGUAUGGUUUUGUUCUUUAGAAAUGGGUUUUUUUCUUUCUUUCAGAGUUUUGUAUUCUUCACAAAGUUAAAAUUUUAGUUGGAAAUACAAUAAACAUUUUGAAUUCUUAGCUAAGAAGUUUUAACUUUAGUUCCAGAAAAACAGGGAAUCAAAUUUCAGUUUGAGUCCAACAUCUGGCACAAUUUAUCUAAAUGUUGUUUGAGUCGAACGCGUGGUGGUGGAGUCGUUCCUUGUUCGAGUUCUCAGAUCAUUUCCCUCUAAAAGGUGUUGAGUCAGUUCCUUCAUUUUAACAUGGUCAUCAAGACGCCGGACAUUCUCGGCGUAUGAUGGGACAACCUCAAAGAUUGUCAAAAGAAAGAAAACUCUAUUAACAUUUGUCACUUACCAUCAAUAAUGGAAUUCAAGGUUUGACCCACGUUUAUCGAGGUUAUUACUCGGUUUUGGACCAAUAAGAAGAUGGUUUUUCUAUUUGGAGAUGUCAAAAAAACACCCACACUAGAGGAAAUUAAGGAUUGUCUGGACUCUAUCAUUACAUAUGGCAAGAGGAAAAAUAUGUUAAUCAUGACAUCCUUCUUCCAGAUAGGACAAAUACUGGAGAAUCAAGAGACAUGUUGUACCUGGUAAGGGCUAACUGAUUUGAUGCCCAAAGUAUAACACUAAUUAGAUUAUUCAAAAUAUACGGGCACAAUAGCUAUUUUGUGCAAUUUCCAAACAAAUUCCAUGGUCAUAGUGCUUGGAGAAAAACUCAUGUCAUUGCAUUUUCAGCAUGCCUCUUCGGAACAAUGGUAUUCCCUAAAGAUGAAGGAAAUGAGAUGAACACUCGGGUUGUGAUGGUAGUAGACUCCAUCUUCAGAGAAAUUGGUAAGAAAUGAGAAGAAAAGAAAUAUUGUAGUUUGGCCCCGAUCAUUUUGGCCGAUAUUUAUCGAUCAUUAUGUUUGUGUAAGAAUGGGUUCCGUUUUUCAAAGGUUGCAAAAUUCUACUUUAAUGGUGGAUGAUUUAGCAUCACAGCAAAAGGGACGGUGCCCAGCAACAAGAGUUGGCAAAGCCAAGCAAGAUGAUUCCCUUCAAUAAUUAUGAAUUCUAACUAAGCAUCUGCAGAUUCCCAAUUUAUACCACCAGGGAUACGUCGGAAAGGGUAUUUUAUGAUUCUAGAGAAAAAGAUAUACAAUGAAUGUUACUGAACUUCAAUUCAGAGAGGAUAGCAGAACAGGGGGCCAAACAUCCAUUUUUAGUCCUUCCUGGCAUCAGAGGAUUACGACCGUACAACCCAGCAAGAGUGAUGCGACAAUUUUGUAAAACACAAAUCACACCCGUCUAAGGGGAUGCUAGUUCUUUUGUUGUCAAUUACAGUGGGAGCGGAAAAAUACCUUUCGCUAAGAUCAUCCUCCAAGAAUGGGCAAGACGUGUCAACAUGAAAUGAGAUAUGGCUGAAAAAUAGAUAUAAAGCUAGGUAUGUAGACGAAUACAAGACAUGAUUGCAGAAUGAUAUGCAUGGUGUAAUGAACCCAUUACCAGGCGUAGUUCAGGAAAUUGAAGAUGUACAGACAAGUCUUCAGAUCCAUGCAUACCAUUUUAAGCAGGAAUUGGACCAAAGGGAGCAACAAUUUAAGCAAACGGAGCAAGAAUUUUAUAACAAAGAGCAAGAAUUUCAGCAAAGGGAGCAUGAGUACCAGUUCCGAGAGUUAUAAAGUUAGAGGGAUUUAGCUGUAACGUCACAAGAGAUAGAUGAUACAAGGGCUUUUCUGAUGCAUUUGCAACGCAACCCUGACGAGAAGAUGAACACUCUACGAGUUGUACCAAAAUUCGUGAACACGAAAUCCUUAUCAUCAACACGCCACAGAUAAGAUAAAGAUGAUGUAGAGAAAAAAAUUAUUGAGAUGGAGUCCUUAUAUUAUCUUUAAAGCUCUAUUGUUUUUCCAUUUCCUUGUAUUCCUAACGAAUGAAUGAAUGAAAAUAUUUCCUUUAUGUACUCGAA
Solanum lycopersicum (tomato) is the source of this 2364-nucleotide non-coding RNA. The record is from RefSeq and is a predicted model, not a curated record. Lineage: Eukaryota; Viridiplantae; Streptophyta; Magnoliopsida; Solanales; Solanaceae.